AUUUAAGUAGUUUAGAAAAACAUUACACUUUCAUUGUAAAGUCAGGGAUAAUCCUCUUAAAUA
RNAcentral lists this transfer RNA (63 nucleotides) under Callirhopalus sedakowii. RNAcentral describes it as "tRNA-Glu". It matches the Rfam family "tRNA". From Rfam's summary of the family: Transfer RNA (tRNA) molecules are approximately 80 nucleotides in length. Their secondary structure includes four short double-helical elements and three loops (D, anti-codon, and T loops). Lineage: Eukaryota; Metazoa; Arthropoda; Insecta; Coleoptera; Curculionidae. The record is from RNAcentral.